Hippoglossus stenolepis (Pacific halibut) is the source of this 2131-nucleotide RNA transcript. It is a transcript of the gene named GRAM domain-containing protein 2B, with no coding region annotated. Lineage: Eukaryota; Metazoa; Chordata; Actinopteri; Pleuronectiformes; Pleuronectidae. The transcript is spliced from 13 exons. The record is from RefSeq and is a predicted model, not a curated record.
CAGAGCCACUUCCAGGAAAUGAUGCCCGAAAAUCCCACACACACUUGAAAACCUGAGAAAACUGAACUGAGAGGGGGAUCAGGAUAUGUGAGUGAGUGUGUGCGCAUGUAAAUGAGUUGGAAUUGUUGCUUUUUCAUCAUGAGUCUCAAAAGCAGGAGAUUCUCACUGGACAGCUCUGUCUCUCAGAAUGGAGGUGGACUCUUUGGUGUGAAGAGAAGCAGCGGGAAGAAAUCGAGACACAGCCAGAGUCUGGACGAGGCCCGACUGGAGAUCCAGGAGUUUAAUCACAGCCUCCACUCCAGCAUGUCCGUCAGGGAUAAGACCAUAGCAGAGGAGAGCCAGGAGGGAUCACAUGAAAUUAUGAAUCAUAGCUCACAGAAACACAAUAAAAGCUUCCACAAGCUGUUCCCAGAUAUUCCCGAGGGGGAGAACCUGACACACGUGUUCACCUGUGCCUUGCAGAAGGAGGUGCUGUAUCACGGAAAACUCUUUGUUUCCAAGAGCCACGUGUGUUUUUACUCAUCCGUGCUGCUCAAAGACACCAAGGUGGUGCUUCCUACGUCCAGUGUCAGGGAGGUGAAGAAACAGAACUCAGCUUUGUCCAUGCUGUCGAUCCAAACCGCUGAUGGAGAGAAGUACUCAUUUCUGUCUUUGAGGAACCGUGAGAUGUGCUACGAACUCCUGGAAAGCCUCUGCUCAUAUGCACAGGGAGAGAGUCCAAACAGCAGCCCUCGCCUCUCCUUUGCAGAAAAUCCAGCCGAUCACGAUGUGGUCUCCAGUUAUUCCAGUCUGGACGAGAGCGUGGAUCGAGAUCUGGGUCGACAAAACUGCAUCGAUUAUGAAAACUUUCCUGAGAUAGCCAGUGAAGGUGCAACAAGAUGCAGUUCCACUCCUCACUCAAUGGAUAAAAACAAAAGAGCUGUAUCGUGGAUCUGGAGCGUCGUUGAGAAGGCGGCGUCAUUGGUCUUCCUCAGAGAAAUGAGGAAUCUCAGCGUUUUCUUCUACAUGUACUUUAUGUUAAUUGUGAUGCUGCUGUUGGCGUCUGGCUACUUGUCGCUGAAGAUCUUAGCGCUGGAGGAGCAGCUGAACUCUUUGGGAGCCCAGACUGAGCUGUUUCUGCACCACAGAGAGUGAGUAGCCACACCAACAUGAAGAACAGAGAGAAGGAAGUCUGCUGGGGAUCGGUCAGGCGGAAGAAAAGUACCAGGAGACGUAGCCUGUGGCAGAGGAUUGAUUCUUCCAGGAAAUCGUGCAAUGUGCCACUGGGUUCAGAUCCCACCCUGAGCCCUGUCUAGACACACUCCCCAAAGCAUCUGAACACUGAUACACACUACAUCUUGUCCAUAAACUUACUGCUAUUGCACAUAUUGCUUCCCUUACUGUAGAUAUUUAAACUCCUGUACUUACACCAUGUUAUGCAGAGAGAGAUUUGUUAGACGUGCACUGAUUCAGAUCUAAAACAGAAGCAGGCCUCGCCUGCUCUGAACCAUAACAACUCGUCAUGUUUGACUCCUGGCCGGUGAACAGCUGAGCUCAGCUUGCAGAGGCUGCAGUUUGACCGUCGUGUUCUCACGUGUACACACGCUCAUCAAGGAGAAGAAGAUAAACAAAGCACUUUUGUUGUUCGGUUGAUUUUAACUUCAUUUUAUAUUUUUUGAAUUUUCUCACUGUGUAAUUUAACAACUGCAGGCUGGUGUUUGGAAUGACUGUUAAUGACCGCAAUCAGCCAGCAGAGGGCAGUCACUUCCAUUCAAACUUGAUUGGUACAUGAGCUACAAUGACGAUUUCAUUUGCACUUCAAAGAGUUUCAAGCUCAAGAAAUAAUAUUAUAUACGUUGUAAAAGUUUUACUACAGACCUUAUGGCAUAUCAUUCCUGUAAAUAAAUACUUGCUAUUUAGGUCUUAUUCUGUAUAUUUGAUAAAAGCAUUGAUUUUAUGUCAUCUGUAAUAAUAUCUGAAUAUUUUUCACAACUUUUUCCAGAUUUAUAAAACUACGUUUUACGACUGUAUUAGCCAGUCGUAGUGCCUGCAUUACAUCAAAGACUGUGAUUGAAUGUAUUAUCAAAAACCCAGUGUCAGUGCAGUCAUGUCAUACAAACUUUUCAUUGUCCAUAAAACCUUCCUGACAAUA